GUUUGUGUGUGUUCUUUAUGAUUCUCACUGUGAUGAUAUGAGAGACCUUUGCCACAUAAACAGGUUGUUUUCUUGCUGUCCAACGAUUAAUACUCCCUGUAUUGAUAUUUUGUUCUUUAGUUUGGAAGAUGUUCUUAGUUUUUUAUAGUAUUUCGAGGGUUGUGUGAUGGUAGGUUUUUCAUUUAAUCAAAAGGAAGCACAGGCUGUUACAUGUAUGACUGUUAGUAUUUUUAAACCCAAUGUGUACACUCCUUAGUCUUGGCGAAUACCAACGGCAGAACUGCACUAAUAAAUUGUUACUAUACUAUUCUGUUGGUGACUGCUAAGGGGAACUAUGUUUAUUUUUUUUUAUGAAUUCCAAUUUUUUGUGACCAAACUGUAAAUGCUUAUAAAGCACUUUAGGCAGUUGCUGAUUUUUUUGUGUUGCCUUAAAGCAGUGAAAUUGUUUUCCCUUAAUUUGAUCUUUCAUAUUCAUAUCACUGUGAUGUAAGAGAUGUACAGAGGGAUAUGUUUGAGGCAAGGAUGCUGUAAUGGGUAUUUUUCACAAUAUGUUUGACAUUAAAAUGUAUUUUACAUUUUAUAGAUCAAAUAAUUUUUUUAAGUAAUUAAUGGAGAAAAUAAUUGAUUGAUCCACAAUGAAAAUAAGCAUUAGCUGCUGCCCUACUACAGUGAUCACCUGCAGGUGCAAACUUCCCCAGAGUCCACCUUAUAAGGCCUUCUCACCUUGCUGCAGUGGUUACAGGUGGACUCAGGACCCUGUGACAUCACUGUUAGUUGUGGUUACAGGUGGAACAGCACAUUUCUGGCCAUAUCCAUCAGCAAAACACUGCUGUUGAGCCAGUUAAGUUACUCUCUGAAGAUACAAGCAAUGUGGUUGGUGAGAAGCACUGUAAACAUACCUUUUGUUUACAAGGAUCUUGCUUCCAGCAGGCUGUACAAAUAGUAUGUAAGACUCUUCAACUUUGUUAUGGUGUACUAUUAUUGGAUAGCGUCAGCUGCUCUGAACAGUGGGCAGACCGUCAAACCUCCCAUGAGGCUAAAUAUUAUGGGCCCUCGGAUGAAUCAGGUAGUGUUACACCACCAUCCAUGUCCCAGUUAAAGGAAAUGUACAGUAACAAUAGUUCCAUACUAUUACACAGUAGUGUUCACCUGUUAAUCCUUGCCCUGAACACAUCCCGCUACUGCAGAUCAGUUCACAUAUAUACACAUGGUUACCAAUAUUACUGUCUAAUAUUAAUGUCUACUCUUUUACUUGGGAAUACUGACGGUUUUUUAUGUAAUCUGGUGAAAUGUAGGUGUGAAUCAGGUACUAGUAACAUUGCUAGAUUGGCUGUGAGUUUCAAGGACCCUAGUUGUAAAAUGACUGCCUUCAAUCUUUUGUAAAUGUGACAUAACCAACGCUCAGGAUCCAAAUGUGCUGGUUUUUAUUCUCGCUUUUUUCCACUAGGACACCUGGUGAAUGCAAUCAUCAAGAUGGUUGAAUAGAAAACCGACAAGGCCGAUAGCCAGGAUUUAAAUCAACUGACCCAAAGCCUUUUAUCGUAUAAAUGCUGUAGAUAGUAAUGUUUCUUUAAAGAAGCUGCCAGUAAUUUCAAUGUGUUCAUGCUCGUUAGAGAGUAAAGAGCAAACCCAAUGCCGUAUACACAGCUAUACACUAUGAUUAUUUCAUCCAGUGUGGGCCAAUAGACAUGUUUGUUGAAAUUUACUAAAAAAGUACUAAACAAUGAGACAGGAAACAGGUCUGCUGUAAACUACUGAUUGCACACUUGUGCCCAAAGGACUCACUGUUACGGAUAUUAUUUGUAUUUUAUUGAAGGGGUUGACAAAAACACAUCAUGAAAAAGUACUUUAACGCUGGUACAGAUGUGGGUCAUACUGUAUUUAGUCAAAUAAGAAGUUUGAUAAUCAGCACUCUGUGUGUUUAAAGCAACAUAAAAGAAAGCACCAGUCAGAAAACAGCUGAAUUAUUAAAUGAAAAAUAUUUAUUAAAGAGAAAAAAGUCUUUGACAUUGAUCGCAAGAGUCACAAAAUAAGGUUAGGGUUUAGCAGACCUGUAUAAGAACUGCUGUUUGGCAUGCCACCUAAUAUAACCCGUCUCUGUAGCUGACAGUAUUUGUAAUGGCUAUUGAGUUACUUUCAGAGUCCAACAUGUGAAUCAAGUUACUCCUUCAUUAUUUUGGCUGUAUCCUCUGUAGGCCUGCAACAUGUCUCAUUGGCCCACACUAUUUACAGUACAUUUGCUUGUUAGAAAUGCACUGUGUUGUUCUUCUUUUAGGUU
Etheostoma spectabile (orangethroat darter) is the source of this 2278-nucleotide long non-coding RNA. RefSeq lists it as uncharacterized. Lineage: Eukaryota; Metazoa; Chordata; Actinopteri; Perciformes; Percidae. The transcript is spliced from 2 exons. The record is from RefSeq and is a predicted model, not a curated record.